This is a long non-coding RNA of Sitophilus oryzae (rice weevil), 1652 nucleotides long. RefSeq lists it as uncharacterized. NCBI's taxonomy places the organism in Eukaryota, Metazoa, Arthropoda, Insecta, Coleoptera, Curculionidae. The transcript is spliced from 2 exons. The record is from RefSeq and is a predicted model, not a curated record.
CAGGAAAUUAAUGUAUCUUCUCAUAAGCCACCAUAAGUCACAGUUUUUAAUUAGAGGUAAAACAGUUUAAUACAAAUUUUGUUAUAUCCUAUCUCAUUGUUCUUUGUAUUUGUAUUUUUAGUUCUUUAUUGUUUAAACUUUUCAUUUAAAAAUUAAGUAGAUCAAAAUUGUUUUCGCCAAUUAAAAGAUAAUAGCAGCAUUGUUUUAGCAUGGUCCUAUGUAGACUUUUAUUUGUAUUAUUUUAAAAUUAUUAAUUCUGCAGCUUUUUACUAAAAUAUACUGUUACAUAUAUUUUGAAAGCUUGUGAAGGACGAAGAUAAUUUUUUUGACAAGUAUACAGGGUGAGUGAUGAAAAUAUUAAGAAAAAACUUAUGCUUCUGUUUUUAUUUUUUUUUCAGACUACUGUACCUUAGAACUAAGAGGGCUGGGAUAAUACACUUAUCACAGUCCUCUUCCUCAUAUCUGUAAUUGAAUUGUAUUAAUCAAUAAGAAACCAUCUAUUGCGAGAAUCUCAACUUUUUCUCGAUCUGCGUUCAUAAGCUAGAAACUCCCUAAAGCACGAACGAAUGAAAAUUAUACACCCUGUACAGGUUAGCAAUUUACUUUGUCCAAUAUUUAACAGACUUUAUAAUAGCAGUGGUAUAAACAGUGGACAAAAAAAAUAUUUUCUCUAUUUUUUUUUAUUAAUAUUUCUAUUUGUGAAAUAUCGACCAUUGUUUAGUUUUUUUUUAAAUAGGACACUUCAUGUGUAUUUAUCUAGAAAUUAAUUUGUCUUUUUACAAGCUUCCAAAAAUUCAUUUUAUAUUAGUCUCCUAAAUAUUUGCAAAAGGCCAUGCACACAAUGCUGCCCCUUGGCUGUGAUUAUAUGAUUAUAUAUUUUUUCUUUGUUUUCUUUACUGUAUAUUUUUGAACGGUGUUGAUUAAUCCAUUCAAGUGAUCUAUUUAGUUCUUAUCAAAUAUACAGGGUAUCUUAUUUAAAAAUUAACUAAACAUGGUCUUGAUAGAUAAAAUUAGAUGGUAUUAGAUAAUGAACGAUUCGUAUACAUGUUAUGCUAACGAUAUACGAGGGGUGUCUGACGAUAUACGAGGGCAGUCUUCUUCUUAUCGUCCUGUAGCAUGGAAAUUAAGAAGGCUAUGUUGAUUUCGCUUAAAAGUAACUCAAAUUUACACAAACCGCAAGAUUCUAUCUUUAUUAAUCAAAAUAUGUAGUUUGGAGCGUAGCGUUUAGAGUUAACAGCGUUAGAGUUAUAAUGAUGGCAUUUGAUUUUUGGGUUGAUGACAUUUGAUUUUUAUAUAAAACAUCAUCGAUUGCCAUUUUCAAGCCAACGUUGACGCCUUAUUUUUGCGAUAAAUUUUAUUUGUUGUUUAUUUUCCUGUAGCAGACACGUUUUACGAACUCGCUGUAAGAAACUUACAGCAAGUUCUUACUUUUUAGAACUUGCUGUAAGAGGCAGCGCGUUCUAAAGGCCGGUUUACACGGUGCUGCUCAAAAUUAAUCACUCAUCACUCAAGUGCUGCCAUAUAAGUGUAGUUUAUGGAUGCUGCGCGCAUCUCACUUGUACGCUGUUUGUAUCGUAUCAACUGUUUUAUCCAAGUUGAGUUGGAAAGCUUCAUAUCAUCCUACAAAGCUUUCCAAUUCGACUUUGAUAAAA